This 416-nucleotide ribosomal RNA is filed under the name Caballeronia sp. Its description in RNAcentral is "bacterial SSU rRNA". It matches the Rfam family "Bacterial small subunit ribosomal RNA", at positions 582 to 998 of the family's 1533-position model. Lineage: Bacteria; Pseudomonadati; Pseudomonadota; Betaproteobacteria; Burkholderiales; Burkholderiaceae. The record is from RNAcentral.
GUUAAGACAGAUGUGAAAUCCCCGGGCUUAACCUGGGAACUGCAUUUGUGACUGGCGAGCUAGAGUAUGGCAGAGGGGGGUAGAAUUCCACGUGUAGCAGUGAAAUGCGUAGAGAUGUGGAGGAAUACCGAUGGCGAAGGCAGCCCCCUGGGCCAAUACUGACGCUCAUGCACGAAAGCGUGGGGAGCAAACAGGAUUAGAUACCCUGGUAGUCCACGCCCUAAACGAUGUCAACUAGUUGUUGGGGAUUCAUUUCCUUAGUAACGUAGCUAACGCGUGAAGUUGACCGCCUGGGGAGUACGGUCGCAAGAUUAAAACUCAAAGGAAUUGACGGGGACCCGCACAAGCGGUGGAUGAUGUGGAUUAAUUCGAUGCAACGCGAAAAACCUUACCUACCCUUGACAUGGUCGGAACCC